RNAcentral lists this unclassified non-coding RNA (551 nucleotides) under Clostridium butyricum. The stretch from base 439 to 551 matches the Rfam family "Bacterial large subunit ribosomal RNA", at positions 1 to 113 of the family's 2925-position model. Lineage: Bacteria; Bacillati; Bacillota; Clostridia; Eubacteriales; Clostridiaceae. The record is from RNAcentral.
GGAGAACCUGCGGCUGGAUCACCUCCUUUCUAUGGAGAAAUCUAGCAAACAUGGCGUUUGACUAGUACAAAGAUGCAAAGCAUCUAUAAAAAUUACAACUUGCUCAAAGGUUACUUAAUAGAUAUUAAUAUCUGUUCAAUUUUGAGGGAUCUUCCUUCAAAAUACUCAUGGGGGUAUAGCUCAGUUGGGAGAGCACCUGCCUUGCACGCAGGGGGUCAAGAGUUCGAAUCUCUUUAUCUCCACCAUGAGGGCUUAUAGCUCAGCUGGUUAGAGCGCACGCCUGAUAAGCGUGAGGUCGAUGGUUCGAGUCCAUUUAAGCCCACCAUAUUGUUCUUUGAAAAUUGCAUAUUAACAAUUGUAUAUAAUACAACAAAGCCAAGAAUAAAUAUUCUUUGUGAAUGAUUAAUAUAACCAGUUUUGUAUAUCAAAACUUAAAAAGGUCAAGCUACAAAGGGCGCAUGGUGAAUGCCUUGGCAUCAGGAGCCGAUGAAGGACGUGAUAAGCUGCGAUAAGCUUCGGGUAGGCGCACAUAGCCAGAGAUCCGGAGAUUU